RNAcentral lists this long non-coding RNA (1484 nucleotides) under Phoenix dactylifera (date palm). Its description in RNAcentral is "long non-coding RNA (PDAC_LNC001186)". The record is from RNAcentral. Lineage: Eukaryota; Viridiplantae; Streptophyta; Magnoliopsida; Arecales; Arecaceae.
AUUUGUAACUUUAAGUUUCUCCUUUUUGAAUAAGCAUCAAAACACACAAACACAUGUGCAUAUAUGUGUAUAUACAUGUAUAUGUAUGUAUAUGUAUACGUACAUAUGUAUGCAUGUCUGUAUAUAUGUAUGUAUGUAUGUGAUCAAUCCCCAGGGUAAAUUUUGGAUUCACCAUAUGAUAUGGUUCACAAUUUCCAACCAAGUUAGUCAAAUCUCAAGCAAAAGCACCGCAAAGUGGUCCUUUUUGACUCAACCCACCAAAUGACCAUGUUCGGUCAACUUGAAUAAGUACCAAAGGUCCAAAACAAAUAUCUAAGUUUAAGAAGAAAGUUCUGUUCCUUAACAAUUUGGUGAGAAAAGAUUAAAGAACAGAUAAAAAUUUCCUGCAUGGUUUAGAAAUGAAGAAAACUCUUACAUUUAGUUAAUUCUAAAAAAUGCAUAUUUGUUCGGAUAUGAGUUAGGACGGUGUAAGGGAGAUGUCUAAGGGAGUAGUGAUUAACAAGAUAAGUGGACAUACUAUGCAACAUUGUUUUAUUAUCCUUGCAAAAUGAAACCGACCACUGAACUUAUGAUGAACCACCAUUGGUGUCAUUUCAUUGCUUUGGCCAAAAGGGAUGGAAGUGUGUUCAAAAAGACAUUUUUCUGGAUGAAAAGUAGGUCUUCAUUAAAGACAAGAUGCUUCAUCCUAAUAAGCUGCUGCAGAUGCUUCUGCAUGCCUGCCUUUACAGGGCUUUUGUCUUUUGAACAUCACUGAUCUUUGCAACUAUCUGGUUAGUUUAAAAAUCUCUCAUUAAUUCCAUUUGUUUUCUGAGCUUAUUUUAUCCAAUUAUUUGAAACAAAUUAACCUUGAUUUUUUCUGGUUACGUUUAACAUGCUUAUAUCAUAGUUUAUUGGCAUAAUUAUUGUCCUUUUUCGAAUCCAUGCAACAAGUAGUCAUUGCUUUUUCCAUAGCCUAUGAUCUCUCUCCCACUCCCAUUUUCAAAUUUGUUUCAAAGUAGUAAAGUAGCAUGGAUAUUCAAAAAGCUGAACCUAAUGAUUAGAAAAUAGCUAGUUAGAUAUUUUUAAGUUUACAUGCAACAAGUAGUCAUUGCCUUUUCCAUAGCCUAUGAUCUCUCUCCCACUCUCAUUUUCAAAUUUGUUUCAAAGUAGUAAAGUAGCAUGGAUAUUCAAAAAGCUGAACCUAAUGAUUAGAAAAUAGCUAGUUAGAUAUUUUUAAGUUUACACCAGCAUUAGAUGAGUGAAAUUUCUACAAGUCUUCUCUGCUUCUAAUCAACUAUUCCUACUUAAAAGGACAGGUUCUCGACACUUUAUCUUAAAGCAAACUUAUAAUUCUGUAGUACAAUUAACUAACCUAACUAAAAGCAUUCAAUUAUUCUUCAUCACUUGUGAUUAAUAAAACAAGUAUAAAAGGUGGCCUAGUGGUUCAUAGAUGUGAAGAAAUGAAAAAACAAAGCAAUGAACAAGAUACCACUUACAGGAUACUC